Molecule: ribosomal RNA, 429 nt
Filed under: Chloroflexota bacterium
Lineage: Bacteria; Bacillati; Chloroflexota
Description: Chloroflexi bacterium partial 16S ribosomal RNA
Rfam family: Bacterial small subunit ribosomal RNA
Source: RNAcentral
UGGGGAAUAUUGCACAAUGGGCGCAAGCCUGAUGCAGCCAUGCCGCGUGUGUGAAGAAGGCCUUCGGGUUGUAAAGCACUUUCAGCGGGGAGGAAGGCGAUAAGGUUAAUAACCUUGUCGAUUGACGUUACCCGCAGAAGAAGCACCGGCUAACUCCGUGCCAGCAGCCGCGGUAAUACGGAGGGUGCAAGCGUUAAUCGGAAUUACUGGGCGUAAAGCGCACGCAGGCGGUCUGUCAAGUCGGAUGUGAAAUCCCCGGGCUUAACCUGGGAACUGCAUUCGAAACUGGAAGGCUAGAGUCUUGUAGAGGGGGGUAGAAUUCCAGGUGUAGCGGUGAAAUGCGUAGAGAUCUGGAGGAAUACCGGUGGCGAAGGUGGCCCCCUGGACAAAGACUGACGCUCAGGUGCGAAAGCGUGGGGAGCAAACAGG